RNAcentral lists this ribosomal RNA (332 nucleotides) under uncultured eukaryote. Its description in RNAcentral is "partial 18S ribosomal RNA". It matches the Rfam family "Eukaryotic small subunit ribosomal RNA", at positions 1470 to 1796 of the family's 1831-position model. The record is from RNAcentral.
CCCUUAGAUGUUCUGGGCUGCACACGUGCUACACUGGCAGGUUCAGCGAGCUUCAUGCCCUGAUCUGAAAGGAAUGGGAAAUCUUUUCAAAACCUGCCGUGCUUGGGAUAGAUGUUUGCAAUUAUUCAUCUUCAACGAGGAUUGCCUUGUAAGCGCACGUCAUCAGCGUGCAUUGAAUACGACCCUGUAUUCUGUACACACCGCCCGUCGCUCCUACCGAUUGAAGUUUUCGGCGAGUUGACAGGAGGAUUUUUUUGAAACUGGUUCGCCGGUGGAUUUUAGAUCCAAAUGCCAACGAAUCGAUGGCUUUAGAGGAAGGAGAAGUCGUAACA